Molecule: unclassified non-coding RNA, 200 nt
Filed under: soil metagenome
Description: partial contains internal transcribed spacer 2 and large subunit ribosomal RNA
Source: RNAcentral
CACCGGCCGGGUCCGCCGAAGCACAGAGGCUCGAGCAGGACCCCGUUUACACGGGCAACAGUCUGGUAGGCGGCCUCCCCGGUCGCAUGCCGCUGGUGCCUGGGGCGUCUGCUGGCCGAGCCCGCAGGAAGUGGUUUCAAAAAGGGCCACCCAUCUACUCAUUCGACCUGAGUUCAGGCAAGAGCACCCGCUGAACUUAA